Cyprinodon tularosa is the source of this 234-nucleotide long non-coding RNA. RefSeq lists it as uncharacterized. Lineage: Eukaryota; Metazoa; Chordata; Actinopteri; Cyprinodontiformes; Cyprinodontidae. The record is from RefSeq and is a predicted model, not a curated record. The transcript is spliced from 3 exons.
CUCGGAGUCAUAUCAGCAAGUCCAGAUUUGCACGAUGUUGAUAAAGACGACAUUGUGUCUGCCUGAAAGACGUAUUUUGAGACGGUACGCAGGAGCUUCAGAUAUACGCUGCCAGCCAACUCGUUGCUUGCGGAGGCUGCCAAGAAAUCUGCUCGGAGUCGGGCCAGAAGAAAGAGGCUGCUGAAAGCGAGGCAGAGUGUGCUAGCAGAUGAGGAAGUGGAACUCUGGAAGUCC